GCGACGUGGCUAUAUAUAGUUCCAGUAAACCGGAACCCAUGUUUAAAAAACCUAGAGCUUCGGUAAUCGGUUAUAAUAGGGUAUUAAUUCCAUAUACAAACCAUACCCCUAAACCCUGCAAGAGCUCAAAUUAUAUUAGACUAAGAAUCAAACUACACUUGUUAACUUUCAGCACUUCAUGGGUAAUGCCCCUAACCUAGUAUGCCAAUGACAGGCUUGCUGAAUGCAACCUCAAACAAUACACUUUAUAUUACAAAAACAAAAAUACCCACACUAGGCUUGUAAAAUGGGUCCUUCCAGAAAAGAUCCAUACUCUCCCAACAGGAAAUUUCUGCCAUCAGGAGGGGGAGGGGAGAAAAAAUUGUUUCUGAUAAUAGUAAAUGUAUUAGGACAUCCGAAGGGGGUAGGCGGGUGAGGUCAACUUCAUAUUUCCUCUGUGGGGGUGGUAUGGGUGUUUUCUGGAAUGACCCCCAAUAAAUUGAUCUUGAUUACCGGAGCUCACGCAGUUCGCAAAGUAAAUGCAUGACAACUUUAAUCUUUAAUAAAAUGUCAUGGAAUCUAUUAUUUUAUGUGCAGGGGCCGGUUGUUCAAAGGUGGGUUAGCGCUAAUCCUGGGUUAAAAUUUAACCCAUUUAAAUGUAUUUCUGCACGUCC
Molecule: non-coding RNA, 653 nt
Organism: Paramuricea clavata
Lineage: Eukaryota; Metazoa; Cnidaria; Anthozoa; Malacalcyonacea; Plexauridae
Source: the annotation of a GenBank genome assembly